AUUGAACGCUGGCGGCAUGCCUUACACAUGCAAGUCGAACGGCAGCGGGGGAGAAGCUUGCUUUUCCUGCCGGCGAGUGGCGAACGGGUGAGUAAUACAUCGGAACGUGCCCUGUAGUGGGGGAUAACUAGUCGAAAGAUUAGCUGAUACCGCAUACGACCUGAGGGUGAAAGUGGGGGACCGCAAGGCCUCAUGCUAUAGGAGCGGCCGAUGUCUGAUUAGCUAGUUGGGGGGGUAAAGGCCUACCAAGGCGACGAUCAGUAGCUGGUCUGAGCGGACGAUGAGCCACACUGGGACUGGGACACGGCCCAGACUCCUACGGGAGGCAGCAGUGGGGAAUUUUGGACAAUGGGCGAAAGCCUGAUCCAGCAAUGCCGCGUGUGUGAAGAAGGCCUUCGGGUUGUAAAGCACUUUUGUCCGGAAAGAAAUGGCUCUGGUUAAUACCUGGGGUCGAUGACGGUACCGGAAGAAUAAGGACCGGCUAACUACGUGCCAGCCGCCGCCGUAA
RNAcentral lists this ribosomal RNA (508 nucleotides) under uncultured bacterium. RNAcentral's name for it is "partial 16S ribosomal RNA". It matches the Rfam family "Bacterial small subunit ribosomal RNA", at positions 30 to 523 of the family's 1533-position model. The record is from RNAcentral.